RNAcentral lists this ribosomal RNA (492 nucleotides) under uncultured bacterium. RNAcentral's name for it is "partial 16S ribosomal RNA". It matches the Rfam family "Bacterial small subunit ribosomal RNA", at positions 29 to 507 of the family's 1533-position model. The record is from RNAcentral.
AGUGAACGCUGGCGGUAGGCCUAACACAUGCAAGUCGAACGGCAGCACAGUAAGAGCUUGCUCUUACGGGUGGCGAGUGGCGGACGGGUGAGGAAUACAUCGGAAUCUACUUUUUCGUGGGGGAUAACGUAGGGAAACUUCCGCUAAUACCGCAUACGACCUACGGGUGAAAGCAGGGGAUCUUCGGACCUUGCGCGAUUGAAUGAGCCGAUGUCGGAUGAGCUAGUUGGCGGGGUAAAGGCCCACCAAGGCGACGAUCCGUAGCUGGUAUGAGAGGAUGGGCACACACAUUGGAAGUGAGACACGGUACAGACUCCUACGGGAGGCAGCAGUGGGGAAUAUUGGACAAGGGGCGCAAGCCUGAUCCAGCCAUACCGCGUGGGUGAAGAAGGCCUUCGGGUUGUAAAGCCCUUUUGUUGGGAAAGAAAAGCAGCAGGUUAAUACCCCGCUGUUCUGACGGUACCCAAAGAAUAAGCACCGGCUAACUUCGUG